This 254-nucleotide ribosomal RNA is filed under the name uncultured bacterium. RNAcentral describes it as "partial 16S ribosomal RNA". It matches the Rfam family "Bacterial small subunit ribosomal RNA", at positions 524 to 776 of the family's 1533-position model. The record is from RNAcentral.
UACGUAGGGGGCAAGCGUUAUCCGGAUUUACUGGGUGUAAAGGGAGCGUAGGUGGCAUGGCAAGCCAGAAGUGAAAACCCGGGGCUUAACCCCGCGGAUUGCUUUUGGAACCGUCAGGCUGGAGUGCAGGAGGGGCAGGCGGAAUUCCUGGUGUAGCGGUGAAAUGCGUAGAUAUCAGGAGGAACACCGGUGGCGAAGGCGGCCUGCUGGACUGUAACUGACACUGAGGCUCGAAAGCGUGGGGAGCAAACAGG